Molecule: transfer RNA, 68 nt
Filed under: Omorgus chinensis
Lineage: Eukaryota; Metazoa; Arthropoda; Insecta; Coleoptera; Trogidae
Also listed under: 1 other name
Description: tRNA-Trp
Source: RNAcentral
AAGGAUUUAAGUUAAAAUUAAACUUGCAACCUUCAAAGUUGCCUAUAAAGAAAAUUCUUUAAGCCUUA